This 379-nucleotide ribosomal RNA is filed under the name uncultured eukaryote. Its description in RNAcentral is "SSU rRNA". It matches the Rfam family "Eukaryotic small subunit ribosomal RNA", at positions 587 to 972 of the family's 1831-position model. The record is from RNAcentral.
AGCUCCAAUAGCGUAUAUUAAAGUUGUUGCGGUUAAAAAGCUCGUAGUUGGAUUUCUGUCGAAGAAGACCGGUCUACGCUAUGCGUACGUAUCUGGUACUUUUUCGGCAUCCGGAAGUUUAAGGUGCGUCGCUUCACUGCGAUGUCCGUAAGCUUCUCUUUUACUUUGAGGAAAUUAGAGUGUUCACGGCAGGCAAUCGCCCUGAAUACAUUAGCAUGGAAUAAUAAUAUAGGACGUUGGUUCUAUUUUGUUGGUUUCUAGAGCUAACGUAAUGAUUAAUAGGGACAAUUGGGGGCAUUCGUAUUAUCACGUCAGAGGUGGAAUUCUUGGAUUGUGUUACGACGAACUACUGCGAAAGCAUUUGCCAAGGAUGUUUUCA